CAGCAGCGCGGUAAUACAGAGGGUGCGAGCGUUAAUCGGAUUUACUGGGCGUAAAGCGUGCGUAGGCGGCUAAUUGAGUCGGAUGUGAAAUCCCCGAGCUUAACUUGGGAAUUGCAUUCGAUACUGGUUAGCUAGAGUGUGGGAGAGGAUGGUAGAAUUCCAGGUGUAGCGGUGAAAUGCGUAGAGAUCUGGAGGAAUACCGAUGGCGAAGGCAGCCAUCUGGCCUAACACUGACGCUGAGGUACGAAAGCAUGGGGAGCAAACAGGAUUAGAUACCCCCGUAGUCCCUGUCUCUUAUACA
This 301-nucleotide ribosomal RNA is filed under the name uncultured bacterium. RNAcentral describes it as "partial 16S ribosomal RNA". It matches the Rfam family "Bacterial small subunit ribosomal RNA", at positions 509 to 808 of the family's 1533-position model. The record is from RNAcentral.